CUGUCCCAGGUGCCCUCACCUAUCCCAGGUGCCCUCACCUGCCCCACUCUCACCUGUCCCCAGGCCCUCACCUGUCCCAGGUGCGCUCACCUGCCUCGCGGUACUGCCCGAAGACGAGGUCGCUGGCGUCGAGCGCGGCGGCGCUGCCCACGUGGGUGCCCUCCUCGCCGUAGUUGGUCAUGUAGAAGGAGAUGCGGCCCUGGGGGCGGCACCGCACCUGUGGGCACCUGUGGGCACCUGUGGGCACCUGUGGGUGCCAGGUGGGUGCCAGGUGGGCGCCAGGUGGGCCUUACCUGGCGCUGGGACUCGUAGAGGAUUCGGUCCAUGGUGUUGAGCAGCGUCAUCGUCCGGUAGAGCUUCAGCACCUCCUCCUUGGGCAGCUGCGGGCACAGCGCAGGUGUGGGCACCUGGGAGGGCACCUGGGCAGGUGUGGGGCACCUGGGCCAGUGUGGGGCACCUGGGCGGGUACCUGGGCAGGUGUGGGGCACCUGGGAGGGCACCUGGGAACCUGGGAGGGUACCUGGGCACCUGGGAGGGCACCUGGGCACCUGGGCAGGUCUGGGCACUUGGGCAGGCACCUGGGCAGGUAUGGUACGUGGGCAGGUGUGGUACCCAUCCCAUGUUACCCGUGCCAGGUAUGUUACCUGUACCAGGUGCGCCACCUGUGCCAGGUGUGCCAGGUGUGCCAGGUGUGCCAGGUGUGCCGUGUUACACCUGUACCAGGUGUGUUACCUGUGCCAGGUGUGUUACCUGUGGCAGGUGGGCUCACCUGGGGGUCCUCGGCGGGCCGCAGCACCUGGCCCUGCCGGUCCAUCACCCGGUACACCGGGAUCCCGGCCAGCACCUGCGGCUGGAUGAACUCGAGGCGCUCCGAGAAGGCGGCCGAGGCGCCCGGGAACUGCGGCCGCUCCUCGGGAGACUCCUGGGGACACCAGGGGGGACAGCGGGGGUCACGGAGGGGUCACGGGGUCACUGAGGGGUCACGGGGUCACUGGGGACUCCUGGGGACACCGGGGUGGCACCGAGGGUCCCAAAAGGGACACCAGGGAUGGCACCAGGACACCGGAGGGGGCUGCGCUGUCCCCUCCCUGUCACCCCUCNNNNNNNNNNCUCAAUGUCCCCUCAUUGACCCUCAUUGUCCCCUCAAUGUCCCCUCAGUGUCCCCUCAUUGUCACCCCUCAUUGUCCCCUCAAUGUCCCCUCAUUGUCCCCCCUCUGUCCCCUCUCUGUCCCCUCAUUGUCCCCUCUCUGUCACCCCUCUCUGUCCUCUCUGGGUCCCCUCAUUGUCACCCCUCACUGUCACCCCUCAUUGUCCCCUCAUUGUCCCCUCCCUGUCCCCUCAAUGUCCCCUCAUUGUCCCCUCAUUGUCCCCCCCGCUGUCCCCUCGCUGUCCCCCCUCAAUGUCCCCUCACUGUCACCCCUCGCUGUCCCCUCUUUCCCCUCUCCCUGUCCCCUCUCUGUCCCCUCGCUGUCCCCUCUCCCUGUCCCCUCCCUGUCCCCUCCCUGUCCCCUCUCUAUCCCCUCCCUGUCCCCUCUCUGUCCCCUCUCCCUGUCCCCUCCCUGUCCCCCCGCUGUCCCCUCCGGUCCCACUCACGGCCGUGCUCCGGAGCCGCCUCGGGACGAGCCCCGGGAGGCGCCGCCGCCACCGCAGCGCCCUCAGCGCCGCCAUUUUCUCCGCG
RNAcentral lists this long non-coding RNA (1678 nucleotides) under Chloebia gouldiae (Gouldian finch). Its description in RNAcentral is "Erythrura gouldiae (Gouldian finch) lncRNA (ENSEGOG00005011364.1)". The record is from RNAcentral. Lineage: Eukaryota; Metazoa; Chordata; Aves; Passeriformes; Passeridae.